AAAAAAAAGUCAUUAAUUAUCAAUUUUUAGUAACAUAUAUAAAAAAAUCAUCACAAUAAAUUAUUUUUAACAAUAAUUUUAUAAAAAUUUAUUUUUAAUAAAAUUUAAUGGAAAUUAAUAACUAUUAGGACCGCGGAGUUUAUCCCAAAUAGAAUAAAAUAAUUGACUAUAUAUACAAUAGAUGCUGCCUAACCAAACCAAGGCCUCACAUCUCACCUUUACAAAAACCCCAGAAGCAUCUUCAUUCAUUUUUUGUUAUUAUUUACAUUGCUAUAUAGGAUGUUGAGAACCAAUUUUCUAUAUUUUUCCCCUCAUUUUUAUUUAUUUACUUUUUCUAUUUCGAAUUCAAAUUGUUGCAGAAGCUCGUGUUGAAGGUGAUGACCAUGACCGAUGAGAAGACAAAGAAGAAAGCUAUAGAAGCCACUGCUGAUUCUACGGAGUAGAUUCGAUAGCGGCGGAUCUGAAGGAGCAGAAAAUAACGAUGAUUGGAGAGAUGGACACUGUGGCAGUGGUGAAGAAGAUGAAGAAAGUUGGGAAGGUUGAUAUCAUAUCAGUUAGGGUGUUCGGGGAUCGAUUUUGUACGGUUUACGGUUCGGUUUUGAUCCGCCCGUACCUCUGUGGUUUGGGAAAAAGUCAAACCGCAACCGCCCGCAGUGCGGUUUGCGGUUUGUGACGAUAGAGUUUGCGGAUGUGCGAGUAGUUGCGGGCGGUUUGCGGUUUGAAUAAUUUACAUUACAAAAAAAAAAAAAAUUUGAUUGCAUAAACAGAUCUAAUUACAAAUUCAACAUAAUUAAUAAUUACAGAUUCAACAUAAUUUAAAUAAUUACAAAUUCAACGGAUUGAAUAACACAUUGAAUAACAUAUCUAAUUACAAAUUCAAUAACAUAUCUAAUAACAUUUAUAAUUAAUAAUUAAUAAUUACAAAUUCAACAUAAUUAAUAAUUGAUAAUUAAUAACAGAUUCAAUCACAUAUCUCACAGAUUGAAUAACAGAUUUAACACAGAUUAACAUAGAUUUAACAAAUAAACAAAUAAAAAAAAACAUCUGAUUGCAUACACAUCUAAAAAUUGCAUAAAAACAUCUAAUUUAACACAGAUUUAACACAAAUUUAACAGAUUUAACACAGAUCUAUUGCUUAUACAUCUGAUUGCAUAAAAAAAAAAAAAAAAAAAAAAAAAAAAAAAAAGAGACCGGGGAGAUCAGACAUAGACCAAACA
Camellia sinensis is the source of this 1217-nucleotide long non-coding RNA. RefSeq lists it as uncharacterized. The record is from RefSeq and is a predicted model, not a curated record. NCBI's taxonomy places the organism in Eukaryota, Viridiplantae, Streptophyta, Magnoliopsida, Ericales, Theaceae.